Molecule: long non-coding RNA, 4896 nt
Organism: Columba livia (rock pigeon)
Lineage: Eukaryota; Metazoa; Chordata; Aves; Columbiformes; Columbidae
Exons: 3
Source: RefSeq, a predicted model, not a curated record
CCUGCAAAAAAGAAUCAAGUAAGUCCCCACAGCUUUCAAACCUAGAGAAAAGGCGACCAGGGCAGAAUUUUCAGUUAUUUAUUCUCAUCACUAUUAUACCCUCGUUACCUGAGAAGAGAAAGGCAGCAGCUAUUAAUAUCUCUAUUUCUUUCGAGGGCUUUUCUGUACACUCUCCUGCACAAGAAUAACACUAUUUCCCCAACGGUUCAUGCUGGAGCAUCACAGCCAGCUGCAUUCUGCUGCCUUACAUCCAACACCUGAGGUGCUCUAAAAAGUACUUUUUAAUCAUCUUAGUUUCUGUCUUUAACCUCAGGUUCUGAAAAGUGAGCCAGAGAAGAAGGUUCAAAGGACUGAUGUGUAAAAAGACCCCUAAAGAUCUACGUUGGAUGUGCCGAUGCGUCUGCAGGAGUCUCGCUCAGGGCAGCGUCAAUCACCGUCCCCAGGUGACUGAGUUAGGUGCCUGAAGUUGUAACAGCGGAACAGGAGCCUAAGCACCCAGGUGGGGACCAGAAGUGGCAGGUUCCAUAGAAGGCUGGAUACUUUGACCUGCAGGAUUUAAUGCUCUACUCUGAUGAAUACUUAUUUUUACAUAUAACAAAAUAAAUAAAUAAGACACUGGAGCCUAAUCAUAAAAAUAAAUCAUGUAGCCCCAUGGAAACAGCAAUCAAUUACAGAAGAAAAGAACCCUCCUGUGUGAAAAGCCAGAACUGCCUCUGUUGUAACCAACAGACAUCCUGAGGAUGCAAAUAGUUACUCUGUUCUACGGCAGCGACAAACCAAACGCCAAGGAGAACACAAGAACCAGGAAUCACUUGGACUUUGUGCUGCCUUCCAGUUUUGUGAGGACUUGCUGUGGCAGCUCAGUUUGUGGAUUCUGCUGCUCUGCACCACUCAGGGGUUGCAAACUUCCCAGUUCUCACAUAAAGAAGGGAUCGAAACAGCCACUGACUCACUGCUGGUUACUUUCCCCAUGACACCCCUUAUCAGCUGUCAGAUGAUGUGCCCACAUAACACCCAACCUCAACCUAAAGAAUCUACAUAGCAUACAUGCAACAUUUUCCUUGCCAAAGAUUCCACUUUUUAAUUAUGCUGGCUGUUCAGUCCAUGUGUCUCAUUUCUAGUUUUAGCUUAUUGCUUCCUAGCAUAAGAUCUUGUUAUUCUUUGUUUACUGAAAAGCCUUUUUGUGGUCCGUAUGUUCUUCUCGUACUGGCUCACAUCAGAAGGCAGGUCUGCGAGCACCCCAAGUGUUCCCAAAUCUCUGAACCUCUUAUAAUUUUUAACAGUGUGAGAUUUUCUGAUACAGACACUGAAGGUCUAUGAGCCUCACCUUCCUAAUCCUAGUAGAAUUGUCUUCGAUAAUACAGCCAAGGAUCCCUUUGUGCCAAUGCAUUGCACUGUCAUUACAUGGUCUGCUCUAUUCUAAAUCACAACUUUUCACUCAGCAGCCUUCUUGUUCCCAGAUAUAAGCCUUCAAUUUGGCAGCAUUAAAGCACCUCUUUCUUUUUUUUAAAUUGUAUUUUGUUUACCAGUUCAUCUGUGUCAUCCCCAUUUUAAAUAUCUUCACUUUACCUUCCCUGAGUGAUUGGUAAAACUAUCAGUUUUUAGCAGAGAACAGAUCUGUCUGGAGUGCUUCAGAAACUAAUUCCCUUGUGUGAUGAGUUCCAACUUACAUUUUUUUUUUCCAAUAUAUUAAUCAGCUUUGAGUUAUUGAAUAUGAAAUACAUCACAUUCACAUAUCCACCUGAAAAGUAAUGUUAUACUCAGGUCUUACAGAAACUGGUAUUUCAACCAGUUUCCUUAUCAGUCAAAAAUGCAAUUUUCUCAAGAACAAAUUUUUAAUAUUUAUUCCUUCUUGUGUUUUCUUUCAGCCAGUCCAAGAUUUUACCUAGGACUUGUGCCAGGCUUCUCAGUUCACUGUUACAUAAUAAUCUGAUUUACAGCUUUCAACAUCAGGAUUACAAUCACUUUAAUAACUUCUUACUUUCUAUCACAACUAUCUUCCAUUUAUAUGUUAAUGAAUUCAACAGAGAAACUAAAACCUCUGAAAAAUCCUAUAUAAAGGUUAAAAAGUGAAUGAGCAGGUGUCCCAUUUUUCUUUCUGUCAAAGAAUGAGUAACACAUAGGUACACAUUAUUUAUUAUCGUCUCUCUUGAUAGCAUGACAAAGAUUCGUUUUGAAAAGUUACAGACAGCAAAAGAACGCCUGACUGAACCGUGCAACAGAGCCAUCUGCGACUUCUCUAAAUUGGGAGAAAUCCCCAGACUACUAGAGAGUGGUAAUUUUUUUAAAACAGAGAGAAUGGGAAAAAAUAAGAUCAAUUAGAUUUUCAAGUCUUUUCCCCUUGUCAGGCACACAGCCAAGGCUCCCGAGGUGUGAUUACCUGGAACACUGGCUUCAGCACAAAAACUGCUAGAAAAACUGCCAACAUCUUCUUGGUGUCUAGAGUAAAACUAGGGGGUUACACUGUGAAAUAGAUCACUGAAGUCACCCAGCAUAGAAAUAACCCCUUCUUGAACUGUACGGCAUAGUAUCUUCAAAUUUAACUAGUCCAUGGCAGGAACAAGAAUGAGCUGCUAAGAGCAAGGACAUGUAUUGGCUUUGCCACCACCUGUAAUCACGACACUUCCAUCUAAAAUUCUUCAGUUACUUUCCAGCUUUAAAUUGAAGCUUUUUUCCCCCCUCCCAUUGAAGGCAUGUGGAAAUGCUGUGCUUUUGCUAGGUUAAUCUAACAAACCCAGUGGUUUUCUUCCUAUUUUCCCAUUGCCUUUCCUCUAAAUUCCUUAUUUGCAGUAUUAAUUUCCUUCUCCUUGCAACUCCAAGUCUUCAAUAAACUUUACAGUGUUCAAGAGCAAUUGGCUUUCAACUGUGGAACACAAUCCAGCCUUUUGCACCUUGUGACUCUCUUCUUCCCUUCAGCAUUUCGUGCUUUCUCUCAUUGAACCCAUAUGAAUAUGAAAAGUCACCAGGUCACAAUGCUGUUCUUUAAACCCCCUCUCCUAAUUCCUCUGCCUGCUAAUCACUCUGUACCACCACGCAUUAGGCUCGUCUGGCUGCUGCUCACUCAGAACUGUUUUGCUUUUGUCUUACCUCUGAAUGCUUGCUCUAUUCAUGCUUUUUUUUUUCCACUGUUCUAAGAUUUUGGACUCUAUUCUUCUGCUAAUAUCUCCUUUUCAUUACAUACAUGUACAGUGCAUAGUAUAAUGGUUCCGAGCACGUGGUUUGUUGAAUAUACAAAGAAAUCUAGCUGGAAACAACAGCUGUAUCAUCUAAUCCCCAAGUCUCCUACCUUGAGAUAGUACCUGUUCCCCAAGAUCUACACACAAGAACUUUUGCUGAGAAAUUACCAGCUUCCUUUGCAACCAUCCCCAAGCCCCUUUUCACAUGAAGAACAGUUUUUCUCUAGGCUACAACAGAUUGUUUCCAAAAGCUACACCAUAUAAACCACUUCCCCCAAUACUGUGCUGCUUCCCAACAGCCAUGGCCUCAACCUUCUCUAAACAUGGACAAGAUGACAACCAAAGAUCAGAGCGCUUGACUCUGGAUAUUUCAAGGCUUACACAUUUCAUCCUUACCUGUUGCAACCUUCCUUUUAGCAAUCUUUUUUUUUCUUUCAGAUCUUAGAUACUGACUGCACUGUAUGCCCUUAUUUUUCCACUGGCCACCUUGGAAAAGAGUUUUAAAAUAACUGCCCCAACUCCAUGCAGUAUUUAACUGGUGGAAUCUUUAUUAUUGCGCAGAUAAUUUGGACUUCCUUAGUAAUUCAAACAAUGAGUAAUUAUCAUCCUCAUAUUCAAAUAUCUUUGAAACAUUUUUAUGCUGAUAUCACAUCCCUAAGCUCUAUGAUUAAAAUUGUAAUCUGCAAGCAGUAUCACAUAGGGUAGGGGAAUCUGCAGAGUACCCUGGAUAAACAGCAGCUGAUACAAUGAGAACAUGAGUGCAGCAGUGCCUGUGAGCUUAACACCCAAAAUUACCUGUUCUGAGGAGGUGUUUGCCUAAAAAAUGAUAAUGCUAAGAGGAAAGUUAAAAAUGAAUUUGCUUAAAAUGACCAGAUGAAACGGUAACCAGAAGAUUACCAAGAAACUUUUGAGAAAAGGAUUAGUCACUGACAAGAAGUACAAAAGCAGCAAGAAAAGGUGCAAUCAUGGGGAGGAAUGUGGAGGUGGAACACAGCAGCAGUCAAACCAAGUCAGACACCCCAACAUUGCAACUUGUGGCUCACCCUCUCUGCUGGGAGCCGUAGGAAGCCUGCACCCAUCCGAAGGACUGUCAAUGUGGGUUGCAAUGUGGGAACCCCCACCUCGAGCACAGGUAUGUGACUGGGUGCUCUGUGGGUGUGGGUACACACAAAGCUGGAGCACCCACAUAUCAGCAGCGGGUCUCACGGUCCCCAAAGAAGUGCAACAUGUAAUUUAAAAUUGCGUGUGUGUCUUGGGGAGGGGCUGAGAGUAAUUUGUGAACAGUUACAGAAGGGUAGUUUGAAAUUUGUAGGUGUUCCUUGGCAUUAUAAAAGUGUCAAGUAUCCUGGUUUACCUGGUGAAAAGCUGAUACUCAUCCUGGAGAUGUGUUGCAGUGACUGCAGGUUCAUCAUGUUUUGCUAAUAAAUGAAUGAGCUGACUUGAUUCUCAUUUGAUUUAAACCACAACAGUCAAACAGUUUUUCCCUGACACAUCUGAGGCCUGUAGACCAGCACACCCAGCCUCCUGUGGUCAGCCAUAAUCCAAAACAUUACAGCUGUAAUAUAAAGUGUCCCUCAGAAAGCAAUAAAUGUACCCUGGGCUUGGGUGUAACGCCAGGACAGUUUCCAAACAAGGACAGUCCUCUUGGGAAAGAGGCUGUGUAUUUUCAAGAGCCAUCUGAACACCAGAUAAAGAAUAAUUCCAUUCCAAAAUGAUUCUG